GAACCCACGUACGUUGAAAAGUGCGGGGAUGAGGUGUGGGUAGCGGAGAAAUUCCAAACGAACUUGGAGAUAGCUGGUUCUCUCCGAAAUAGCUUUAGGGCUAGCCUCGGAAUUGAGAAUGAUGGAGGUAGAGCACUGUUUGGACUAGGGGCCCAUCUCGGGUUACCGAAUUCAGAUAAACUCCGAAUGCCAUUCAUUCAUAUCCGGGAGUCAGACUGUGAGUGAUAAGAUCCAUAGUCGAAAGGGAAACAGCCCAGACCACCAGCUAAGGUCCCAAAAUAUAUGUUAAGUGGAAAAGGAUGUGGGGUUGCACAGACAACUAGGAUGUUGGCUUAGAAGCAGCCACCAUUUAAA
Molecule: ribosomal RNA, 354 nt
Filed under: Enterococcus faecium
Lineage: Bacteria; Bacillati; Bacillota; Bacilli; Lactobacillales; Enterococcaceae
Description: partial 23S ribosomal RNA
Rfam family: Bacterial large subunit ribosomal RNA
Source: RNAcentral